This 540-nucleotide unclassified non-coding RNA is filed under the name Pseudothielavia terricola. RNAcentral describes it as "sequence contains ITS1, 5.8S rRNA gene, ITS2". The stretch from base 165 to 318 matches the Rfam family "5.8S ribosomal RNA". The record is from RNAcentral. Lineage: Eukaryota; Fungi; Ascomycota; Sordariomycetes; Sordariales; Chaetomiaceae.
UACAGAGUUGCAAAACUCCCUAAACCAUUGUGAACCUACCUUCUACCGUAUGCUUCGGCGGGCGGGCCCCAGCGCCCCCCCGGCCCCCCGCGGGCGCCCGCCGGAGGACACCCAAACUCUUGACAUUAGUGGCCUCUCUGAGUAUUCUUUACUGAAUAAGUCAAAACUUUCAACAACGGAUCUCUUGGUUCUGGCAUCGAUGAAGAACGCAGCGAAAUGCGAUAAGUAAUGUGAAUUGCAGAAUUCAGUGAAUCAUCGAAUCUUUGAACGCACAUUGCGCCCGCCAGUAUUCUGGCGGGCAUGCCUGUUCGAGCGUCAUUUCAACCAUCAAGCCCCCGGGCUUGUGUUGGGGACCUGCGGCUGCCCGCAGGCCCUGAAAACCAGUGGCGGGCUCGCUGUCACACCGAGCGUAGUAGCAUACAUCUCGCUCAGGGCGUGCUGCGGGUUCCGGCCGUUAAACAGCCUCUGCGCUACACCCAAGGUUGACCUCGGAUCAGGUAGGAAGACCCGCUGAACUUAAGCAUAUCAAUAAGCGGAGGA